RNAcentral lists this transfer RNA (65 nucleotides) under Dipodomys ordii (Ord's kangaroo rat). It matches the Rfam family "tRNA". From Rfam's summary of the family: Transfer RNA (tRNA) molecules are approximately 80 nucleotides in length. Their secondary structure includes four short double-helical elements and three loops (D, anti-codon, and T loops). Lineage: Eukaryota; Metazoa; Chordata; Mammalia; Rodentia; Heteromyidae. The record is from Rfam by way of RNAcentral.
GGUGGCUCAGCGGUAGAGCUCUUGCCUUGCAAGCAUGAGGCCCUGGGUUCGAUUCCUCAGCACCA